ACGGACGCUGGCGGCGUGCUUAACACAUGCAAGUCGAACGGAAAGGCCCUGCUUUUGUGGGGUGCUCGCGUGGCGAACGGGUGAGUAACACGUGAGUAACCUGCCCUUGACUUUGGGAUAACUUCAGGAAACUGGGGCUAAUACCGGAUAGGAGCUCCUGCUGCCUGGUGGGGGUUGGAACGUUUCGGCGGUGGGGGAUGGACUCGCGGCUUAUCAGCGUGGUGGUGGGGCAGUGGCGUACCAAGGCUUUGACGGGUAGCCGGCCUGAGCGGGUGACCGGCCACAUUGGGACUGAGAGACGGCCCAGACUCCUACGGGAGGCAGCAGUGGGGAAUAUUGCACAAUGGGCGGAAGCCUGAUGCAGCAACGCCGCGUGCGGGAUGACGGCCUUCGGGUUGUAAACCGCUUUCGCCUGUGACGAAGCGUGAGUGACGGUAAUGGGUAAAGAAGCACCGGCUAACUACGUG
This 467-nucleotide ribosomal RNA is filed under the name uncultured bacterium. RNAcentral's name for it is "partial 16S ribosomal RNA". It matches the Rfam family "Bacterial small subunit ribosomal RNA", at positions 29 to 507 of the family's 1533-position model. The record is from RNAcentral.